RNAcentral lists this ribosomal RNA (253 nucleotides) under uncultured bacterium. RNAcentral's name for it is "partial 16S ribosomal RNA". It matches the Rfam family "Bacterial small subunit ribosomal RNA", at positions 524 to 776 of the family's 1533-position model. The record is from RNAcentral.
UACAGAGGGUGCGAGCGUUAAUCGGAAUUACUGGGCGUAAAGCGUGCGUAGACGGUUAUGUAAGUCGGAUGUGAAAGCCCCGGGCUUAACCUGGGAAUUGCAUUCGAGACUGCAUAGCUAGGAUGCGGAAGAGGGAAGUGGAAUUUCCGGUGUAGCGGUGAAAUGCGUAGAUAUCGGAAGGAACAUCAGUGGCGAAAGCGACUUCCUGGUCCAGCAUCGACGUUCAGGCACGAAAGCGUGGGGAGCAAACAGG